UACAGAGGUCCCGAGCGUUGUUCGGAUUCAUUGGGCGUAAAGGGUGCGUAGGCGGCGGGGCAAGUCUGAUGUGAAAUCCCGGGGCUCAACCCCGGAACUGCAUUGGAUACUGCCUUGCUUGAGUACUGGAGAGGGAACUGGAAUUUACGGUGUAGCAGUGAAAUGCGUAGAGAUCGUAAGGAAGGCCAGUGGCGAAGGCGGGUCUCUGGGCAUCUCCUGACGCUGAGGCGCGAAAGCGUGGGGAGCAAACGGG
This 253-nucleotide ribosomal RNA is filed under the name uncultured bacterium. RNAcentral describes it as "partial 16S ribosomal RNA". It matches the Rfam family "Bacterial small subunit ribosomal RNA", at positions 524 to 776 of the family's 1533-position model. The record is from RNAcentral.